This 251-nucleotide ribosomal RNA is filed under the name uncultured bacterium. Its description in RNAcentral is "partial 16S ribosomal RNA". It matches the Rfam family "Bacterial small subunit ribosomal RNA", at positions 524 to 776 of the family's 1533-position model. The record is from RNAcentral.
UACGUAGGGGCAAGCGUUGUCCGGAAUCAUUGGGCGUAAAGGGCUCGUAGGCGGCCAACUAAGUCAGACGUGAAAUCCCUCGGCUUAACCGGGAACUGCGUCUGAUACUGGAUGGCUUGAGGUUGGGAGAGGGAUGCGGAAUUCCAGGUGUAGCGGUGAAAUGCGUAGAUAUCUGGAGGAACACCGGUGGCGAAGGCGGCAUCCUGGACCAAUUCUGACGCUGAGGAGCGAAAGCCAGGGGAGCAAACGGG